AAUAACAACAAGAGAGAAGUCAAAAGAUAGGCAAUAACUGGAACACUCUUUCUGCGCAGGACGCCAUUUUGUGCGUUAGAAUUUGCAAUUUCCCGGCCCGGCAUAGAUAGAUAAUUUGGCGGUUUGUACUGAAUACUACUAAACAUAUUUUCUAUUUUCAUUACUGGAUAGUGCUGGAAUUGCUGAAAUUGAAUAUCGGAACUUGGAAUUACAGAGAAGUGAUAUAGACUAAUCAUCAUCAUCAUCAUCAGCCCCUCUCGAUCCACUGCUGGACAUAGGCCUCCCAUGUUUGUAGACAAGUAGAAGAGACAAGUAGACUAAUAGAAUAGAAUAACAGGUAUAGUGUAGGUACAUGUAAGUAGGUAGGUUAAUACCUUGGCUACCGUGUGAGAUGCCAGCAUUUGACACAAAAUAUCGACUGUAAUAUCGUGUGAGACGCUGGCUUCCAUUGUUAUUAAAUGAUUUAAAAUGCUCUAAAGCGAGAGUUUUUAGUUUCUCAUAUUGGUUUCAAAAUAAGGAUAAAAUGGUACAAAAUUACAUCUUAUUAGUUUAAGUGAUCGCUAACCAAGGUGUUAAACGUUAAUAAAGGUAUGGUAGUUAUAUUGUAUGUAGGUACAGUUGAGUCCAUGGUUCUCAUUAAUACCUGGAGAGAUAAAACACAUACUUGUCACUUAGCACCAUUGUGUUCCACGCAUGACACUAACGACAAACCAGCUACUGCCUGUUAUUAAGUAAACACACAUGUUAUUUUUAUGAACAUUUUAGACUCAGUACAUCGAAAAAAUAGAGGUACAAAAAGACGCUUGGGGACGUUUUCAGAUUUAAGUACAAUUUGCAACAUUUCUGGUUUGUUUAUUGUUUGUUUUUCACAACUAAUUUUAUUUUGGCAUUAAUUUACAUACAAAGUUCACCUCAUUCACACAGAUUGUCAUAACCACUUUCUGCCAAUGUACUCAACUGUAAAAUUAGUUUAUCAUUUUAUAGUGUAAAUACAAAUAAAAAACUAGUAUUGUAACAAAAGUCAGUGUUUUGUAAGUAGGUAGGUUAAAAAUAUCAAUAAAGGUUCUGUUUAGUUACAAUUUAUAGUGGUUAUAUUGUAUGUAGGUAAUAUUAUUUUAUCAUUUUGCAAUGUCAAAUUCUAAAUCCCAACCCGGUAAAUAUGUUCACGAAUGUUUAGCGUCCUAUUGUAAUAACAAGUAUUUUCAUCCUGUCACAGACCCAGAGUAUACAAAUAAAAAGUUUUUUAGAUUUCCAGAUAAAGAUUUAAAAAGACGUCAUGACUGGUUUGAAAUUAUUGGUAUUGAAUUUACUGAAACUAGGUGUUAUUUAUGUGAAGAUCAUUUUGAGGAAACACAAUUUACAAGCAGCUUAAAAACAAAACUUUUAAAUAAUGCAGUGCCCUCCAAAAUAAUUCACAUAUCCAAUGUUCAUGAUCAACUUUUGCCUAUACCUGCACAUUCUUCUGAUGAAAUCUCUGUUUCAAAUGUACACAUUUUUAGUAACAAAGAAAUAGUUCCUCCAAAAUUAUCCUCCAUUAAUAACCCAGUCAAUAAUAAACAGUUCGAUUAAACGUAACUUACCUUAGUACAAAUGUGCUCUUAAAAAAAGUUACAGCCCUUUGAAAUUACAAAAUGAAAAUCGAUUUUUUCCAAUAUAUCGAAAACUAUUAGAGAUUUUUUAUUGAAAAUGGACACGUAUCAUUCUUAUAGCAGGAAUAUCUUAAAACAAAAUUAUAGUAAAAUUUGUCCACCCCAUUAAAAUUUUAUGGGGGUUUUGUUCCCUUAAACCCCCCUAAACUUUUUUGUACGUUCCAAUUAAUUCAUUAUUGUUAUGCUAUUAGUUAAACACAACGUUUCUAAAACUUUUUUGCCUCCCAGUAUUUUUUUGAUAAGCCAGUUUUUAUCGAGAUACGGCUUCUUUUUUAAUAUAUUUACAUAAAAAUUUUAUGGAGGUUUUGUUCCUUUAAACCCCCCAAAUGUUUGUGUACGUUCCAAUUAAACUAUUAUUGUGGUACCGUUAGUUAAACAAACUGUUUUUAAAACUUUUUUGCCUCUUAGUCCUUUUUUGAUAAGUCACCUUUUAUCGAGAUGUGGCUUCUUUUUCAAAAUAUACCUAAAAAUGUAAAUUAUAAAUAAAUUUUCAGAUUAUUAACAGGUCUCUAUAAUCGUACUUACCAUAUACAAAAUAUGUAGUGGAUUCCAAAAAUAUUCAAAAUAUCUCGAUAAACACUGGCUUACCGAAAAAUUACUAAGACGCAAAAAAGUUUUAAAAACAUUGUGUUUAAGUAAUGGUGCCACAAUAAUAAUUAAAUUGGAACGUACACAAAAGUUUGGGGAGGUUUAAGGGAACAAAACCCCCAUAAAAUUUUGAGGGGCUGCACAAAUUUCACUUUAAUUUUUUUUUAAGAUUUUGCUGCCACAAGAAUGCCACAUGUCUAUUUUAAAUAAAAAAUCUUCAAGAGUUUUCGAUAUAUAAAAAAAAAUCGAUUCUCAUUUUGUAACUUCAAAGGGCUAUAACUUUUUUUGUGUGCACUAUUGUAUUUAGGUUAGUGAGGUUCAAUCAACCUAUUUUUGGCCCCAAAAUCUGUGGUAUAAUUUAUGACCAAUCUUUUCGGGACACCCUGUAUAGUAUAUCUAUAAUAUAUCACUGAUAUAUUAUAUUAUAAUAUAAGUUUCAAGCUUUGUAUGCAUUCCUUGCUACAUGUACGACAAACUUUUCCUCUGUGACCAUAAUUGUAUUUAAAUAAACCAAACUUGUAUUGAGAGACAAUAACGUAAAAGUGACAUCUUUGAGAACUAAGCGUUCGAAAACAUAGCAACUCUGAAAGAUUUCACAGAGGAAAAGUUUGUCGGACAUGUCGCAAGGAAUGCAAACACAAAGUUUAAAACUUAUAUGUAUCACUGAAAUUUUAGGUCCUUGUACUGGGGACUAUAUAGUGUAAAGUUAAACAAUUUUUAAUGGCAAACAUUUUGAUUUCUCUUAUAAACAUUUAUUUAAAUUGCAGGUUUGUUCGAUUUGUUUAUCACCUAAAAGUAUUUUACUUAUUUAUUGUAAGUUGAUAUUUUAAAGGUUUGUAUUUUAGCUUUAGUAAAGUUCUCAGUGUAUUAUAUAAUAUUUUCCUUUAGAGAUUUUUAGGCUACUAAUCAAAUAUGUAUCUGCAUUUUGUAAACUAUAAGAUAAAUAAAGAAUAAAGAAGAGCGGGGAUAUGCAUGCAUUUUGUGUUGAUCUGUGUUUUACAUCAUUAUUUCAAAACAAUUUUACUGCAUAGAUUUCCCUAUUUUGUUUUAUCAGCACUCCAUACAUGCAUGCGGUAAGUGGGGGGUCCCCGUGAGGAUUAAUAAAAAUAAAAUGUAUGAAGUUG
RNAcentral lists this long non-coding RNA (3361 nucleotides) under Diabrotica virgifera virgifera (western corn rootworm). Its description in RNAcentral is "uncharacterized LOC126888879". The record is from RNAcentral. Lineage: Eukaryota; Metazoa; Arthropoda; Insecta; Coleoptera; Chrysomelidae.